RNAcentral lists this long non-coding RNA (3895 nucleotides) under Solanum tuberosum (potato). RNAcentral describes it as "long non-coding RNA (STUB_LNC010603)". The record is from RNAcentral. Lineage: Eukaryota; Viridiplantae; Streptophyta; Magnoliopsida; Solanales; Solanaceae.
ACACAUAUAUAUAUAAAGAGAGAGAGAGAAUCUUAUUGUUACUCAUUUUAGUUUUUGGUAUCUGUAGCUUGCAACGACGAAUCAAUUCUCAUGAGCUUGACAAUGAGGCACUUGCUUUUAAGCCCGUUUUGGGUCCCAUGCUUGCGAGGAUAUACAACAAUCCUUAAAAAAAGGAAGAAAAUCAGUUUCGACUGCAGAAAAUUUUACAGUUUUGGGGCUCCAAGGAAGUCUAUGAUCAGGAUACUAUUCGUGCACUUGAAAAUGAGAUGAUGAGUGGACUACCUACAAAUUUUGCUGGUCCUUGGAGGGAACUACUGGCUGCAGAUCCUUCUGCUGGUGCAGGUAGUUGCUGCUAAUUUAGCUGUAAUAAAGAGUACCAUUAAAAGAAUGUAUCGCAAUUUUUACUUCUGUAUCCUUUUUUUUCAAGGAUUGUCACACCGAGUAGCAAACCAGAGUGUUUUACAGUGGAUGAGCAGGUGCCUCCUUUACCUAAUUUAGCCAAUCAAGAUAAAGUUGUUCCUCCAGUACCAUCUGCAGAUCGAUUUCAUAUUCCAGGGUCGAUGCCUGUGCUGUCCUCUGUUCCACAUGGAAAUCUACAAGUUGCAGUUCAUCCCAUCCCAGCAUCAACUGCCAAUGGAGGUGGAAAAUUGCCUCCAUACCCCUUGUUUCCUCCUGGUCUUAGUCCUGGUAUGGUCAGGAAGAUGUAGAUUGGUAGUGGGGUGUCUUACUCUCCGAUAUGCCCUUUGGAUAUCCCCACCAUUAUACCACCCUCCACCGUAUCAGAGUCUGAGAUUCUUGAGAGUGUGUCCAAAUUUUUGAGGGAGAUCGGAGAGGUUAAUCCAUCAGAAGGUCCUGUUAAACCAUCUGAUUCAGCCAAUGAUUAUGAUGACUAUGAGAGAGAACUUGCUGUUCGCAAUUGAGGGGCUUGCAUCCAUCCACCUUCAAACCUCCAAGUUGACCCUGAAAUUGGGAAUUACUCUGAUGGAGGUGUGGAGCAGAAGCCUGGAUUGAAUAGCUCAGGACGGUUAGGACUUGGAGCCACAGAUAAUCCAGAUGAGUCAAGUCAAUACGAUGAUGUCUACACUUCCUACAGAAAAGAAAGAAGCACAAAUUACCAUUCAUCAAUGAGUGCAAGAACUGUGAGGUAAAUUAAUCAUCAUUUUGACCAGUCUAUAGACAGCUCAUAGCGUUUGAGACGAACAUUUUUGUCUCUUUUUGCUGCUGUUGAGUGGACUUACAGUUUUCGUCUCUGUAACUUUUAAGUUGAUGUGGAUAUUGUAAGACAUAUUUUUUUCCUACAUGCUACAGAAUGAGUUAAAUCUUGCCGUGAUCUUCCAAUGAAUAAAUAACUAGUUUGAUCCUUAACAAAAAAAAAACUACGUUGUAAUGGACUCCCUCUAGCAUACACUAGUAGGGAGGACACCAACACAAAAGCUGGACAGAUGAACUUUGAGACUUCAAGUUUUCAACAUCUUAUGUUGUAUCACUUAUAUGGGAAGUGGUGAAACUAUUCUUAUGUGCUGUAGAAAGUGAUGGCUAUACUUUCGUCCACGCCAAAUUGAUACAGAGAUCAUUUACUUGAAAACUAAGUCCUAGAUGUGCAUUGCAUAUUUACUAUUUUGAGUUUGUGGGUUUGGAGGUCAAAGACAAUAUAGCCUAUUUGAAGCAUCAUAGUUUCUAGCAUUGCAGUGGCUGGGGAUGUCGACUUUGUUCCUUCUAUGUGCUUUUAGAAUUUAGCUUUAGUCAUAUUAUUCCUUCUAUGAAGGGGAGCCUUGGAGCAACAGUAAAGUUGUCUCUGUGUAUCCUUCAGGUGACGGGUUCGAGACAUGGAAUCUACCAUUGAUACUUGUGUCUGAGAAGACUGCUACAUUCCUCUCCUUUGGGUUGCGACCCUUCACCGUAUCCUGCAGGAACACAAGAUGCUUUGUGCACCAGACUAUCCAUUUUACUUGUUCUUUCUUUUCUUUUAUUGGUAACCAUGGUUGUGAUGGUUGAAAGACUGAGAAUGGCCUCAUUGAGUGGACAUAUAACUAUACUGGAACUUUUAUUUCAGCUCUUGGCUAUGCUGAAGGAAUGAAUGAAAAACAAUUGUAUCAUUGAAUGUUUAACCAAAUCUUGUCCAUAACAUGAGUUGUGUGCUCACAAGGCAUUUGAACAGCAUAAUGCAUCAACCAUCAUUUACUCUUGUCUCCUCUCCCUCUUUAACUCUCUGUUAAUCUGUGUUCAUUGCAAGUUAGAAUUGUGGUCUCAGAAAACUCCUAUCCAUCUACAUUUCGGUCUCUCUCUCUCUCCCACUCCCCUCUUUUUCCUUUGAAGAAUUCACUUCUUUUCGUCUCUGUUGGGAUGUGUGUUGGUACUUUUUAUCAAGAGACGGUGAAGGUUGGUGUCAAGUUUAAGGGAUUGUAAUUGCCCUUUUUAUUUACUGAUUGAUACCAGAUACAAGUUUUUUUUCUUUUUUAAAGGGAUAAAAGAUGCAUAAUAAGAAUUGAACUCAUACAUUCUAUAAGCUCCAAUCUACAUGUUUUCUUGGAAAACAAUUGAGUUUCUUACCUUAUUAAUAGUGUGAUAAAGCAAAAAAACAUUAUUCCAAAAGCAAUUUUAUGUAAUCUAGCAAAACAAUAUGAGUGUGACAAAACGGUCAAAGACUAAAAGGAGAGGGAAUUGAUGAACAUGAAAUGUUAAUCAUUGAAAUUUGUUUCUUCUAUUAGGAAAGUCAUUUUAUAUUUUGACCCAAAUAAACAUGAAAAAAUUAAAAAAUGUUUUAUAGUCAUUUAAAGGUAGAUUGUGUGCUUUUGAGAUAGGGGUAGCCCAACUAUAGGUAAUCCGCCCAACCCGUCCAUAAAUUUAAAGGUUGGGCUCAAAAUAAUUUGAAUUGAAUUCAAUCUCAACUCAUUCAAACCUUAACUCAUUUUAAGAAAAUCCUUAAUUGAGCCCAAUUUAAUCUCCAAUUUCAACCUGUUUUAAGACUCUUUAUUUGCUUCUCAAAUUGAAGGUAUGAAUUGCUAUCGCUUUUAUAUUUUUUAAAAUUCAUCUAUCCAUUUGUAACUUCUUCUUUUAAAUUUUGUUAAAUUGAAAUUCAAAUUGUGGUUAUAAAACUUGAAUAACAAUAUAUUAAAAUUAUUGAGAUUAAGUGGGUCAAAUUGGGAAGUCAUAACCCAACCAGUUUUUAAGUCCAACCCAUUUGAGCCCAAAGUAAAUUUGAACGGGUCAAGAUCCAAUCCAACCCAACUUCUAUUUCAACUCAUUCUAAUAUCUCCAAUUCCAAUCCAACCGUCCAAUUGACACCUUUGGCUUGAAAGAUCUUAUCUCAACUUGCUAAAUGUGGAAAUGAUCUUUUUAUCUUAUUGGUGUGGUGGAAAUGAUCUUAUAGUAGUUCACACCAUAUUCUUUUCUAGUGCAAAGGUCAAUGACAGGUAAAGUAUAUAUGAGUAAAACAAUUCUAUAUGCUAAUAAAUCAACUCAACUCAACAACUGCUGCAACCUAUAACCAUUUUCUCAAUGAAUUAUAGUAAUCAGAAUAGAUAUAUGAAUACUUGGAAUACAAGCAAGUUGAUAUGUAUAUGCAAAAUAAUAAUAAUAAGAUGAUACUCGUUCUGAACUUACUGACUCGCCUCUGAGCUUGUAGAUGAUGUUGGGAUAGCUAAAAAGGUAAUUGUCGAGUCCUGCUUACAGUUGCACCCAGUGCAAGUAAUUCUAUAUUUGUGAAAAUGAAAUCACAAAAAAGGAACAACAACUUGCAGCUGCUGCAACUAUAGGUUGGGCUUGACAAAACAAACAAACAAAGAAACUACUACUGUUACUAUCUCUAACUCCUUUAUAAGGUGUUUCCAUAAAAACCCUAGAUAGGGGCAUGAUUGUAAUUUUUUCAGCUAACCCUACUAUGAGGAAAGAAAGA